UACGUAGGGGGCUAGCGUUGUCCGGAAUCAUUGGGCGUAAAGCGCGUGUAGGCGGCUCGGUAAGUCUGCUCUGAAAGCCCGGGGCUCAACCCUGGGAGGCGGGUGGAUACUGUCGAGCUCGAGUCCGGAAGAGGCGAGUGGAAUUCCUGGUGUAGCGGUGAAAUGCGCAGAUAUCAGGAGGAACACCAAUGGCGAAGGCAGCUCGCUGGGACGGUACUGACGCUGAGACGCGAAAGCGUGGGGAGCAAACAGG
Molecule: ribosomal RNA, 253 nt
Filed under: uncultured bacterium
Lineage: Bacteria
Description: partial 16S ribosomal RNA
Rfam family: Bacterial small subunit ribosomal RNA
Source: RNAcentral